RNAcentral lists this ribosomal RNA (496 nucleotides) under uncultured bacterium. RNAcentral describes it as "partial 16S ribosomal RNA". It matches the Rfam family "Bacterial small subunit ribosomal RNA", at positions 28 to 506 of the family's 1533-position model. The record is from RNAcentral.
GAUGAACGCUGGCGGCGUGCCUAAUACAUGCAAGUCGAGCGAACAGACGAGGAGCUUGCUCCUCUGACGUUAGCGGCGGACGGGUGAGUAACACGUGGAUAACCUACCUAUAAGACUGGGAUAACUUCGGGAAACCGGAGCUAAUACCGGAUAAUAUAUUGAACCGCAUGGUUCAAUAGUGAAAGACGGUUUUGCUGUCACUUAUAGAUGGAUCCGCGCCGCAUUAGCUAGUUGGUAAGGUAACGGCUUACCAAGGCAACGAUGCGUAGCCGACCUGAGAGGGUGAUCGGCCACACUGGACCUGAGACCCGGUCCAGACCCCUAGGGGAGGCAGCGGUAGGGAAUCUUCCGCAAUGGGGGAAAGCCUGACGGAGCAACGCCGGGUGGGUGAUGAAGGUUUUCGGAUCGUAAAACUCUUUUUUUAGGGAAGAAAAAAUGUUUAAGUAACUAUCCCCGUCUUGACGGUACCUAAUCAGAAAGCCACGGCAAACUACGU